This 73-nucleotide transfer RNA is filed under the name Pteropus alecto (black flying fox). It matches the Rfam family "tRNA". Rfam says of the family: Transfer RNA (tRNA) molecules are approximately 80 nucleotides in length. Their secondary structure includes four short double-helical elements and three loops (D, anti-codon, and T loops). Further hydrogen bonds mediate the characteristic L-shaped molecular structure. tRNAs have two regions of fundamental functional importance: the anti-codon, which is responsible for specific mRNA codon recognition, and the 3' end, to which the tRNAs corresponding amino acid is attached (by aminoacyl-tRNA synthetases). tRNAs cope with the degeneracy of the genetic code in two manners: having more than one tRNA (with a specific anti-codon) for a particular amino acid; and 'wobble' base-pairing, i.e. permitting non-standard base-pairing at the 3rd anti-codon position. Lineage: Eukaryota; Metazoa; Chordata; Mammalia; Chiroptera; Pteropodidae. The record is from Rfam by way of RNAcentral.
AGUUCCAUAGUGUAGCGGUUAGCACAUCUGCUUUAUACGCAGAAGGUCCUGGGUUCGUGCCCCAGUGGAGCCG